This 301-nucleotide ribosomal RNA is filed under the name uncultured bacterium. RNAcentral describes it as "partial 16S ribosomal RNA". It matches the Rfam family "Bacterial small subunit ribosomal RNA", at positions 509 to 807 of the family's 1533-position model. The record is from RNAcentral.
CAGCCGCCGCGGUAAUACGGAGGGUGCGAGCGUUAAUCGGAAUAACUGGGCGUAAAGGGCACGCAGGCGGUUAUUUAAGUGAGGUGUGAAAGCCCCGGGCUUAACCUGGGAACUGCAUUUCAGACUGGGUAACUAGAGUACUUUAGGGAGGGGUAGAAUUCCACGUGUAGCGGUGAAAUGCGUAGAGAUGUGGAGGAAUACCGAAGGCGAAGGCAGCCCCUUGGGAAUGUACUGACGCUCAUGUGCGAAAGCGUGGGGAGCAAACAGGAUUAGAGACCCCCGUAGUCCCUGUCUCUUAUAC